GGCUUCACAUGAUAAUAACAAUUUAACAAUGUUCUCUCUAUCUUUCUCUCUUCCACAGAUUUGUGAUUCAACAAUGAAAGAGCUAGUUUCUCUUUCAUUAUAUGACCUAUUAAUAAUACUACCCUCUUUCAAAUUCAAGCUAAGCCCCUCAAUUGCAGUCAUUUCCAAAUCUUGAAGUGUCUUUCUAACCUUAUCUGCAUUUAUUGAU
Molecule: unclassified non-coding RNA, 208 nt
Filed under: Hevea brasiliensis (rubber tree)
Lineage: Eukaryota; Viridiplantae; Streptophyta; Magnoliopsida; Malpighiales; Euphorbiaceae
Source: RNAcentral